GUGGAUGUAGCUCAAUGGCAGAGCAUCAGGCUGUGGACCUGGGGGUUGGGGGUUCGAACCCCCUCAUCCACCCCA
This 75-nucleotide transfer RNA is filed under the name Syntrophobacterales bacterium. RNAcentral's name for it is "tRNA-His". It matches the Rfam family "tRNA". Rfam says of the family: Transfer RNA (tRNA) molecules are approximately 80 nucleotides in length. Their secondary structure includes four short double-helical elements and three loops (D, anti-codon, and T loops). Further hydrogen bonds mediate the characteristic L-shaped molecular structure. tRNAs have two regions of fundamental functional importance: the anti-codon, which is responsible for specific mRNA codon recognition, and the 3' end, to which the tRNAs corresponding amino acid is attached (by aminoacyl-tRNA synthetases). tRNAs cope with the degeneracy of the genetic code in two manners: having more than one tRNA (with a specific anti-codon) for a particular amino acid; and 'wobble' base-pairing, i.e. permitting non-standard base-pairing at the 3rd anti-codon position. Lineage: Bacteria; Pseudomonadati; Thermodesulfobacteriota; Syntrophobacteria; Syntrophobacterales. The record is from RNAcentral.